CCUACGGGAGGCAGCAGUGGGGAAUAUUGCACAAUGGGGGAAACCCUGAUGCAGCGACGCCGCGUGAGUGAAGAAGUAAUUCGUUAUGUAAAGCUCUAUUAGCAGGGAAGAAAAUGACGGUACCUGAGUAAGACGCCACGGCUAACUACGUGCCAGCAGCCGCGGUAAUACGUAGGGUGCGAGCGUUAUCCGGAUUUACUGGGUGUAAAGGGAGCGUAGACGGGAGUGCAAGUCUGGGGUGAAAGUCGGGGGCUCAACCCCCGGACUGCUGUUGAAACUGUACGGCUGGAGUGCAUGAGAGGUAAGUGGAAUUCCUAGUGUAGCGGUGAAAUGCGUAGAUAUUAGGAGGAACACCAGUGGCGAAGGCAGCUUACUGGACCGUAACUGACGUUGAGGCACGAAAGCGUGGGGAGCAAACAGGAUUAGAUACCCUUGUAGUC
RNAcentral lists this ribosomal RNA (440 nucleotides) under uncultured bacterium. RNAcentral's name for it is "partial 16S ribosomal RNA". It matches the Rfam family "Bacterial small subunit ribosomal RNA", at positions 338 to 795 of the family's 1533-position model. The record is from RNAcentral.